Molecule: ribosomal RNA, 248 nt
Filed under: uncultured archaeon
Lineage: Archaea
Description: partial 16S small subunit ribosomal RNA
Rfam family: Archaeal small subunit ribosomal RNA
Source: RNAcentral
AUUCCCUACGGGGCGCAGCAGUCGCGAAAACUUCGCAAUGGGGGAAACCCCGACGAGGGAAUUCCAAGUGCCAGCACUUUGUGUUGGCUGUUCUUCUGUCUAAAAAACAGGAGGAGUAAGGGGCGGGUAAGACGGGUGCCAGCCGCCGCGGUAAUACCCGCGCCCCAAGUGGUGGUCGAUAUUAUUGAGCCUAAAACGUCCGUAGCCGGUCUUCUAAAUCCUUGGGUAAAUCGGGCAGCUUAACUGUC